Molecule: ribosomal RNA, 423 nt
Filed under: uncultured eukaryote
Lineage: Eukaryota
Description: bacterial SSU rRNA
Rfam family: Eukaryotic small subunit ribosomal RNA
Source: RNAcentral
CAAUAGCGUAUAUUAAAGUUGUUGCAGUUAAAAGCUCGUAGUUGGAUUUCUGGUGGGAAUGUUUGGCCGGCUCAAUGAGUUUUGUGCCUAUAUGUUCUCGCCAUCCUUGAGGAAAACUUGCUUGGCAUUAAGUUGUCGAGUUUGGGAUCCUCAUCGUUUACUGUGAAAAAUUAGAGUGUUCAAAGCAGGCUUAUGCCGUUGAAUACAUUAGCAUGGAAUAAUAAGAUAGGACCUUGGUACUAUUUUGUUGGUUUCUAAAACUGGAAGUAAUGAUUGAUAGGGAUAGUUGGGGGUGCUAGUAUUCAACGGCCAGAGGUGAAAUUCUUGGAUUCGUUGAAGACUAACUUAUGCGAAAGCAUUCACCAAGGAUGUCUUCUUUAAUCAAGAACGAAAGUUGGGGGAUCGAAGACGAUCAGAUACCAU